UUUUGUCACGUCUCUCUCUCUUUCUCUCUCGGGAGUUGAGCCGCAGCUCCUGCUGAUGUUUCUCCGGCCGUUCCCUGCAGCCGUGACCCCCUGACUGCGUUCUGCUGUCGCCAUGGAAACGUGGGAUCAGCGCAAAUUCCCGCUCGAGCGAACGCAUAUGCGCGCGCGCGCGCGUCCACGGCACGCACAGAUUGAGUCACAAACGCACACUGACUCACUCACACACUCACAAACCUACACAUGAGUCACACGCAAAUCAUCAUUUAUCCACUUUAACAUUAAACAAAUACACGUGUGUGCAAUAUUAUGAGGUGACGACACAAACAACACCAAACCUGACCAUCGUCUGCCUUCACAAGCCGAAAGUCAGGUAAAGAGACUGGACAGAGUUUGAUUAUGAAUAAAAUGAAUGACUGUCCAUUGCCGAACAAUGCAGGACCUUCAAGCUUCACCAUCAACCCUUUGUGUCUCAUGUUGUGGUGUUCACUUUCUGUAAAACCAAUAACUGGACUGCUAAAGAAACUUACAAGUGUGCAUCAUGGCUGUCUGGAUGAAGACCAAGCAAAUGUUUGAAGCAGAUUUGUUGAUGGAAUCUGAGAUCUUCUGCUAAGGCUGGACUGAGCGUAUGGACGUCAGAGAUCAGAUGUGAUUUAGGCCUGUGAUGGCCCAUGCCAGGCCAGUUGUGAUCGGCGAUACACCCUGCCUGUGUGAUUUUGGUUUCACUAGAACAAGAGUUUAGGUCUCCUGUGUUCCAGUCUGGGGUCCUCAGCUCUUUCUCUGAGUGACAGGCAGGUACAGAACGAAUCUGACAAACUUUUUCAUAUUUUAUGCACUGAUUUUAGGGGUCCUGCAUUCUGCAUACUCAUUGGUUGCUGCUUUAUCAAUAAUUGAAAAUAUUUAUGUAUGUAUAUGUGCAGGGGCGUUGCACAAGAUCCCGGGCCCCCAAACUAAUUAAAUUUUUUGAAGAGAAUGUAAAUGGUGCUCACCUGUGCAAAAGUUGCUUACUUGCCAUGCUUGUUCACAUCAUGAGAAUUCCUGAAUUUGAAUUGAGGCAAACAGGAUGCUAGAAACUUUCAAAAGAAAAACAAAGUUUUUCAAAUUAAAAGUUUUGAAUUUCAAAAAGCCCUGAGGUUUGAAUGUUAGUUAGAUAUCUAGAUUGAUAAGUAGGUGGACAGAUGGAUAGAUAGAUGCUUGGAAUGCCACCUAUAGAAAUUUAGCAUUAAUUAUAAUUAAUAUAUUAAUCAGAGUAAAAGAACACUUCAUUUUCAAAAAUGUGAUAUCUGUGUUGAAUUUCUUUGCAUUGCUGUUCAGUAAAUUCCUCUUCCUGUCAUUCUAGUUCAAAUUCCUGUGGGGUGUGGCCAAUUUAAUUCAAAUUCAAGUCCAACUCAUUAAUUAAAAUGGAGCCAAUUCUUCAGUUCUGAAUCUUGCACAACCCUGUUACUGGCUCAUAUCAGAAGAGUCCACAUGGAGUUCUCUAGAUAUGACUCGGGUGACAGUGAUGCUUGCCUUUGCAAGAGCUGCUAAUUGCAUUAUUUCAUAACCUGGACCAAGCACUGUAAUAUCUAUUCAGCUCAGCCAGUUAUAGUGAGUGAUAAUGGAUGUGUUAAUAACCAAAUAAACCUUCAACCGUCUUUCUCUCUCACACACAUCAGGAGUGUGUGGUAAUUAAAUAGAUAAGUCUGCAUGUCAGAUUUGCUUCUUGUCCCUCUUGAUGCUAACCAGUGCUGACUAGCUCAUUAUUGGACAGCCAUAAUCGUGUCCCGCCAUCAGGUCGGCACUGGGAGUCACAUGAACAUUAUUUUUAUUUCUGGUUCCCGUUUGGUUUUCUGUUAUUCUUGUCAAUUUUCCGCAUGACAGGUGGAAUCUGACAUCUUUAUGCGCUCUGUGUUUUGUGACAUGACGACAGCAUGUCGCAAUACUGUGUAAAUGUCACAAUGUGCAAACCUACAUGCUUUCUCUCUUACAUGCACACAUGGGCAUUGAAUAUGUAAGAAUGUCUGUGGCAGAGAUCAGAUGGGGUGGUUUCUGGAAUCCACAUUAAGUUGUUGAUUAAUAUCAUUCUUCAAAAUAUAAAAUAAUUUUAGGGACUUCCCCAUGUGAGACUUAAAUAGUAUAGAGUUACAUGUCUUCUCACUGGAAUGUGAUCUCUUCUCAGUUUGAGAAAAAAUCUCACAACACUUUAAAACAUACAUCUACUCUUCUGUCUUAGGUCACAAAGGUCAUUAGGGCCUCUCAUCUACAUAAACAAUAUAUAAUUAAAGCAUUUACUUUAUUUUUUCAUCUUUACACAUUAGAAAAUAAUGAGGAAUAUUGUCUGAAGCCUCUAGCUGAGAAAAAAAUUGAUAUUUGGGGAAGUUCCUGAUUAGACAUUGGGUUUGAACAACCCAGCCUUGAAGAAGUUGCGUAUUCUCUAUGUGUGUGUGUGUGUGUGUUAGUAUCUGUCUGUGCAGGACCAGUAUUCAGGGAGAUUAUUGACGGCACCCAGGGUGGAAUACGCACAUGGACAUCUUCCGUCACCCUGAUGCAUUGGUUGCAGAUAUAUAUCUCUCGAGCAACACGUUGUGUGUGAACUCUAAUCGUUUGUCACCUAAAUAACCUUUGGAGAUAUGCUUUGAACCUUUUGUACAUCUGUUUUUCUACGAUUUAACAAUCAGAAUUCUUUUAACUAAGUAAUUACAUAGUUAGUGACCUUUGUUAGAGUAUAAUUAAUUAAUGCUGUAUUGAGUGUGUAUGCAAAGCGGCAUACGAACUCGUUGCGAGUACUGAAACUGACUUCUGCUGAUGAAAAUUCCCCUACAAUAUGGUCGGUAAGAUUUUUUAUUUUAUUUUAUUUUUUUAUGUUUUUGAAAGAAGUCUCUUAUGCUCAUCAAGGCUGCAUUUAUUUGACCAAAACAGACAAAUAUAUUGUGAAAUAUUAUUACAAUUUAAAACUAGAAGAGUAAAGUUCAAGAACAAACUUUGAAGUUGGCUUGAAAAAUCCUUGACUGAAAGUUUGAAGCAUUUGUAAAAGCUUGAAGUGUGAAAGUUUCUAGCUUGUUUAGAUACCAUGUUUUUAGCAAGAAUAAUAUGUUUCUAACAUGAUUAGCAUGUUUAAAACAUGAUCACCAUGUUGCUAUCAUGCUUAAGCAUGUUUCUAGCUUGUUUUAACAUGAUUAACAUGUUUUUAGAAUGCUACCAUGAUGCUACCAUGACUAAUGUUUUUAA
Molecule: long non-coding RNA, 3204 nt
Organism: Cyprinus carpio (common carp)
Lineage: Eukaryota; Metazoa; Chordata; Actinopteri; Cypriniformes; Cyprinidae
Source: RefSeq, a predicted model, not a curated record